AUCUGACUGGAGCCACAGAUACAGA
This 25-nucleotide non-coding RNA is filed under the name Cricetulus griseus (Chinese hamster). The record is from RNAcentral. Lineage: Eukaryota; Metazoa; Chordata; Mammalia; Rodentia; Cricetidae.